Siniperca chuatsi (mandarin fish) is the source of this 1888-nucleotide long non-coding RNA. RefSeq lists it as uncharacterized. NCBI's taxonomy places the organism in Eukaryota, Metazoa, Chordata, Actinopteri, Centrarchiformes, Sinipercidae. The record is from RefSeq and is a predicted model, not a curated record. The transcript is spliced from 3 exons.
AGAAAUAUCCAUCCAGAAACAUCAGAUAUAAUAGUAAAACACUGACAGGCACCAUUUUACUGCAGAAUGAGUACUUUUACUUUGAUACUUUAAGUACAUUUUGCUGAUAAUGCCUUCAUACUUUAACCUACUUGAACCUUUUUCCAAAGCACCCAUCUUCAUCUUUAAUUUUUUAAUGUAAAAGAUAUGUACAACUAAGUAUGAAUUUGCAAGCGGUGAGCAGACCUCGACACAUGCGAGGUUCCACAUGCAGUGCAGCUUGAUGUUUACACCUGCAAAACAAGAACAAACACAGGAGUUGUCUGUCUCAGACAAGAGGAAGGUCUGUGCAGCAUGGGAAAGAUUGUAGACGAUUGUAGAUGUUAAUCGUGUCUAAGGUGUUGUUUUAGUUUUCAUUUCUGCUUUUCCUGCUGGUGGCCUGGUUGUGGUGGAUGGAUUGCUUUGACCAAGUCAAAAAAAUUGCUCAGAAACUGUCACCUGUCUUCAGUGGCAGCUGGCCAAUAGAGUGCGCUAGGGUGCCGCCCUUCCUGAGCCCUUGAGCCACAGUAAACCCCAUUACUACUAAUAAUAAUAAAUUAAACAAAUUGUCAUUUGUGUGUUUUGAAAUAUGGAGUGUAUCCAGUAAUAUGUGUAAAAUAUGAUAGAAAAUCAUCUGCGCAACAUAAAUGCUUUUCCCAUACGUCCCCUCCACCUGUCUGGAGUCUCAGCAGCUCUGCAGCGAUAGAGGAAUCACCCACAGGAGGCAGGUCUGAGUAGCAGUUUAGCCAAAGAUAUAUACAGUAUGUAUGACAAAAAUUUGACAAUCAGUGUCCUCAAAUCUUAUCUGAAAAGGGUGAUUAUUUUGAAUUUUUUUGCCCAGAUCAACCUGACCUCGCAAUCAGACAGCAGGCUAGCGAGAAAGGGAAGCAGUGUAUGCGAGCCUUCUCUCGUAGCUGGUGCACCAGAAAGGCCUGGCUAGCUGGAUGCAGUCAUGCUAAUGCCUUAUUUUGCUUUCCGUUCUUGCUUUUUUUUACGUGGUCAGAUCCAACACGGACAGUUACGGGAGUGAGGGAUAUGAAGCACCUGUCUGAGAAAGUAAGGAAACAUGAGAACACCAGGGCACACAUGGAUAGUUCUGUCCAGCUAACGUUAGCCACAUUACGGCAGCCACAGGAUUGCAGUGAGGAAACACAGUGAGGAGGUGGAUAAAACAGGCACAUUUUAUCCAAAAUAAUCUAAUGUGUGAAGUUUUGUGGGGCCUUUGACUCGGCAUGACGAGACAGACUCCUCGGACAACCCUGGCAUUUUCAGCGGAUUGGUGGAUUUUGUUGCCUCCCUAGACCGUGUGCUGGAGGGUCACCUAAGACCGCUAACUUACCAUUUUUAAAGGCGUCAAAGAAAAGGUACAAAACGAGCUGCUGGGCUGCAUGCUGUCAGUGCUAAAGGAUUACAUUUUGGAGGAAGCUGAUUUUAUCGCCAUUCAAGCAGAGGAGACCACUGACAUUUCCACCCACUGCCAGCUGGUGCUUGUGCUUAGCUACAUCAACACCAACAUUAACAUCCAACAGCCAGUUUUUCGAGUUCAUUACAAACUGCCGACACCAUCGCUACAGCGCUUCAAAUGGACAAUGAAUAACCAGAGUCCCUCCGAGGUGCCAGGGUGCUGGUGAUGGGUGCCAGUACAGACAGCGGGGAACAGUUGGCAUACCAUCACGCCAGGCUGGGUGCCCAGAUAGUAAUAACGACGAGGAGGGAGUGCAUGCGUUACACGAGGAGGACAAAGGCUGUAAGUGAUGGACUCACCGUGUGUCGACGGGAACAACAGGUGAUGUCGACAUAAUGUUAUGCAGCGUGUGCUGGAUGAGUAGCCAAGGCUGCGUCUCUUUCACUGUUGGGUUUUUCUAUUGAA